UACGAAGGGGGCUAGCGUUGUUCGGAUUUACUGGGCGUAGAGCGCACGUAGGCGGAUCGUUAAGUCAGGGGUGAAAUCCUGGAGCUCAACUCCAGAACUGCCUUUGAUACUGGAGAGCUUGAGUCCGGGAGAGGUGAGUGGAACUCCGAGUGUAGAGGUGAAAUUCGUAGAUAUUCGGAAGAACACCAGUGGCGAAGGCGGCUCACUGGCCCGGUACUGACGCUGAGGUGCGAAAGCGUGGGGAGCAAACAGG
This 253-nucleotide ribosomal RNA is filed under the name uncultured prokaryote. Its description in RNAcentral is "partial 16S ribosomal RNA". It matches the Rfam family "Bacterial small subunit ribosomal RNA", at positions 524 to 776 of the family's 1533-position model. The record is from RNAcentral.